GACGAACGCUGGCGGCGUGCUUAAUACAUGCAAGUCGAGCGAGGUUACUGUUUCGGAUCCCUUCGGGGUGAAGAAGCUUUAACCUAGCGGCGGACGGGUGAGUAACGCGUGGGUAACCUACCCCAAAGUCCGGGAUAACAGCGGGAAACCGCUGCUAAUACCGGAUGCCUUUACCUUGGGGCAUCUUGAGGUAAAGAAAGGUAACGCUUUGGGAUGGGCCCGCGUCCCAUUAGCUAGUUGGUGAGGUAACGGCUCACCAAGGCGACGAUGGGUAGCCGGCCUGAGAGGGUGGACGGCCACACUGGGACUGAGACACGGCCCAGACUCCUACGGGAGGCAGCAGUAGGGAAUAUUGCGCAAUGGACGGAAGUCUGACGCAGCGACGCCGCGUGAGCGAUGAAGGUCUUCGGAUCGUAAAGCUCUGUCCUUGGGGAGGAAGGCGAAAGCUUGACGGUACCCAAGAAGAAAGCCCCGGUAACUACGUG
Molecule: ribosomal RNA, 485 nt
Filed under: uncultured bacterium
Lineage: Bacteria
Description: bacterial SSU rRNA
Rfam family: Bacterial small subunit ribosomal RNA
Source: RNAcentral